UGCGUAGGCGGGUCUUUAAGUCAGGGGUGAAAUCCUGGAGCUCAACUCCAGAACUGCCUUUGAUACUGAAGAUCUUGAGUUCGGGAGAGGUGAGUGGAACUGCGAGUGUAGAGGUGAAAUUCGUAGAUAUUCGCAAGAACACCAGUGGCGAAGGCGGCUCACUGGCCCGAUACUGACGCUGAGGACACGAAAGCGUGGGGAGCAAACA
This 208-nucleotide ribosomal RNA is filed under the name uncultured bacterium. RNAcentral describes it as "partial 16S ribosomal RNA". It matches the Rfam family "Bacterial small subunit ribosomal RNA", at positions 568 to 774 of the family's 1533-position model. The record is from RNAcentral.